This 253-nucleotide ribosomal RNA is filed under the name uncultured bacterium. Its description in RNAcentral is "partial 16S ribosomal RNA". It matches the Rfam family "Bacterial small subunit ribosomal RNA", at positions 524 to 776 of the family's 1533-position model. The record is from RNAcentral.
GACGGAGGGUGCUAGCGUUGUUCGGAAUCACUGGGCGUAAAGGGCGCGUAGGCGGCCUCAGGUGUCGGAUGUGAAAGCCCGGGGCUCAACCCCGGAGGUGCAUCCGAAACUCUGGGGCUGGAGGUCGGAAGAGGAGGGUGGAAUACCCAGUGUAGAGGUGAAAUUCGUAGAUAUUGGGUGGAACACCGGUGGCGAAAGCGGCUCUAUGGUCCGGACCUGACGCUGAGGCGCGAAAGCGUGGGGAGCAAACAGG